This 193-nucleotide small nuclear RNA is filed under the name Oryza sativa Indica Group (long-grained rice). RNAcentral describes it as "U11 spliceosomal RNA". Lineage: Eukaryota; Viridiplantae; Streptophyta; Magnoliopsida; Poales; Poaceae. RNAcentral also lists the same sequence under 1 other name. The record is from RNAcentral.
GCAAAUUGUUUCAGUAUUCCAACCAUAAUGUGACCAUUCAUAAUCAUAAACUUCUUCAUAUUUUAAAAUAAUCAUAUAUAAAUGGAUAGCCACAUAAAAUCAAAAUGAGGUCAAUAUUCCCUAUAGCAAAGGAAUGUGAAACACAUUUUAUAGAAAAUAUAUUUUUAUUUGUUUUAUGGAAUAUUAUAAUAUA